AGGGUGCUAGUUUAAGAAAAACCUUCGAUUUCGGCUCGAAAAACUAUGGUUAAAGCCCAUAACACCCUU
This is a transfer RNA of 69 nucleotides. It matches the Rfam family "tRNA". From Rfam's summary of the family: Transfer RNA (tRNA) molecules are approximately 80 nucleotides in length. Their secondary structure includes four short double-helical elements and three loops (D, anti-codon, and T loops).